UUUUUAAUUCAAAAAUUUUGGUCUUGUUAGGGGUACCAUAUCUUUUCUCAAUUUGGGACCAUAUACUCUGUGCAGUAUCGGAAUACUGCACACUAUAGCAAUUUGAGAAGACAGAGAGGAGGUCAACCAGGAAAUGACCAUGUUAUUACAUCUGUCCCACAGUCUCUGUUGAGCCACAUUAGUGGCAGGACGAGGACACGAAUCGUCAACAAAACCGAUUUUAUUUUUAGCGGAUAAAGCAGCAAUCAUCUUACGCCUCCAGUCCCCAUAACCACUACCCGAGAAGGGAGUGAGAACAAGAGAAACCCGAGGGACAUCAGAAGAAUAUACAAAAAGGGGGCUAGAAGAGUCUACAGAGGAGGAGGUACCAACAUUUGUGUUAGAAGCCAUAAUCAAUGAACCGGCUUAAAAAAACAGUUUUUCAACAAACAGAGUAUAACCAAAUCAGGUAUUCACACACAACACCGGAUACUCACAUACAGAGUUAGAUAAUCACACACAAAGCAUACAAUACUCAAGAUAAGGAUAGAGUUACCCUCCUUCUUCGCGACCGGAGAAGAUCGGUCUUCAAACAACAGAGAAAACCCUAGGUACAAAACCCUAGGUGUAAGCGUCGAAAUCCUUACUGGAAAUGUUGUCAGGGAUGUCAGAAAGGUACCCAAAACAUCCACUGAGUGAGAAUCGAGCCACCGGAUAGCAGUAAAACUCUAGGUUAAACCUCAGUCAGAGAAAACCCUAGGUACAAAACCCUAGGUGCAACCGUUGAAAACCUUACUGGAAAUAUGGGGAGGGAUGUCGGAAAGUCACUCUAAACAUCCACUGAGUGAGGAUCGAUCCACCGGAUAGCAUAAAACUCUAGGUUAAACCACCAGAAACCCUAGAAGCCGAUAGGUCACCGAAAAAUCACCCAAAAAUCAGCAGAAAAUCUCCCAGAACGUUCGAGUGAAGUGAUGAAAAACUCGGAAAGGCAUCUGAUCUAGGUCGGAAUCAUAAUCGACCACAAGGUCUCAGAAAAAAUCCCCAAAAAUCUCAAAGAAGAGUUCAACCAAGACAACGAGAUGCAGAGAAACAUAGUCGGAUCGUCGUCUAGGCUCUGAUACCAUGUAAACAUUGAGAUUAAACCGAAAAAUCAUGAAGAAUGUAGAGAGAGAAUCUAGAGAGAAGGAGGAGCGUCUGAGAGAAGACUCUGGAAGCCAGAGAAUUUUAUUAAACAAAAAACAAAAUGAAA
Molecule: long non-coding RNA, 1228 nt
Filed under: Nicotiana benthamiana
Lineage: Eukaryota; Viridiplantae; Streptophyta; Magnoliopsida; Solanales; Solanaceae
Description: long non-coding RNA (NBEN_LNC011273)
Source: RNAcentral